Molecule: ribosomal RNA, 516 nt
Filed under: uncultured bacterium
Lineage: Bacteria
Description: bacterial SSU rRNA
Rfam family: Bacterial small subunit ribosomal RNA
Source: RNAcentral
GAUUAUGGCUCAGGAUGAACGCUAGCUACAGGCUUAACACAUGCAAGUCGAGGGGCAGCAUGAUCGAAGCUUGCUUUGAUUGAUGGCGACCGGCGCACGGGUGAGUAACGCGUAUCCAACCUUCCCUAUAGUAGAGGAUAGCCCGGCGAAAGUCGGAUUAAUACUCUAUGUUUUUCCGAAGCAGACAUCUAAUUUGGAACAAAGGUUCACCGCUAUAGGAUGGGGAUGCGUCUGAUUAGGUAGUCGGCGGGGUAACGGCCCACCGAGCCAACGAUCAGUAGGGGUUCUGAGAGGAAGGUCCCCCACAUUGGAACUGAGACACGGUCCAAACUCCCACGGGAGGCAGCAGUGAGGAAUAUUGGUCAAUGGGCGAGAGCCUGAACCAGCCCAAGUAGCGUGCAGGAUGACGGCCCUAUGGGUUGUAAACUGCUUUUAUACGGGGAUAAAGUGAGGGACGUGUCCCUUUUUGUAGGUACCGUAUGAAUAAGGACCGGCUAAUUCCGUGCCAGCCGCCGC